CACGGAGUUAGCCGGUGCUUCUUCUGCGGGUAACGUCAAUUGCUGUGGUUAUUAACCACAACACCUUCCUCCCCGCUGAAAGUACUUUACAACCCGAAGGCCUUCUUCAUACACGCGGCAUGGCUGCAUCAGGCUUGCGCCCAUUGUGCAAUAUUCCCC
This 159-nucleotide ribosomal RNA is filed under the name uncultured bacterium 4-2. RNAcentral's name for it is "partial 16S ribosomal RNA". The record is from RNAcentral.